Colius striatus (speckled mousebird) is the source of this 476-nucleotide long non-coding RNA. RefSeq lists it as uncharacterized. The transcript has 3 exons. NCBI's taxonomy places the organism in Eukaryota, Metazoa, Chordata, Aves, Coliiformes, Coliidae. The record is from RefSeq and is a predicted model, not a curated record.
CACGAGCCGAGCGCUGAGGACGUCGGGACCCCCCUGAAACGACCCGAACUCGACCCCCAGCUGCUGCCCCCCCCCCCUCGGGCUGGGGCUGCUGCUGAGCGGGGGGGACCCCCCAGGACUGAAGCCACGUGUGGGGCAGGAGCAGCCCCUCGAGCUGUUGGAUGAUGGUUUGGUCCUGCCCCCCCCUCCCCACCUUGAGGACCCCCCAGGAGGAAACUGAGGGGCCCCCCCCAGGGGAGCAACUGAGGGGGGGGAAAGGGGGGGGUGACACCCCCCUCUCCUCCUCCCCCUCCUCCCAAAAAGGAAAGGGGGGGGUCCCCAACUUGUCAAUGCAAGGGGGACCCCCCCAAAACGACAUCUCCCUCUGGGACCCCCCUCAAACCCCCCUCCCCAUUUUAAGGUGCUUUGAGGGACCCUCUUUGAGCCCCCCUCCAAAUUCCCACCCCCAACAACCCCCCCCCAAGCCCCCCCAUUUC